This 565-nucleotide ribosomal RNA is filed under the name uncultured bacterium. Its description in RNAcentral is "bacterial SSU rRNA". It matches the Rfam family "Bacterial small subunit ribosomal RNA", at positions 338 to 916 of the family's 1533-position model. The record is from RNAcentral.
CCUACGGGAGGCAGCAGUAGGGAAUUUUCCGCAAUGGGCGAAAGCCUGACGGAGCAAUACCGCGUGAGGGAUGACGGCCUGUGGGUUGUAAACCUCUUUUCUCAAGGAAGAAGUUCUGACGGUACUUGAGGAAUAAGCAUCGGCUAACUCUGUGCCAGCAGCCGCGGUAAUACAGAGGAUGCAAGCGUUAUCCGGAAUCACUGGGCAUAAAGCGUCUGUAGGUUGUUUAGUAAGUCUGCUGUUAAAGACUGGGGCUUAACCCCAGAAAAGCAGUGGAAACUGCUAGACUCGAGUGUGGUAGAGGUAGAGGGAAUUCCUAGUGUAGCGGUGAAAUGCGUAGAUAUUAGGAAGAACACCAAUGGCGAAGGCACUCUACUGGGCCAUAACUGACACUGAGAGACGACAGCUAGGGGAGCAAACGGGAUUAGAUACCCCGGUAGUCCUAGCCGUAAACGAUGGAUACUAGAUGUUGCACGUAUUAACCCGUGCAGUAUCGUAGCUAAGGCGUUAAGUAUCCCGCCUGGGAAGUACGCUCGCAUGAGUGAAACUCAAAUGAAAUUGACGG